CAGCAUAAUCCCAGUCCCCUACCUGUAUUGGUACCCUCCAGCCUUCCCAGUACCAGCUCCUGUGGUCCAGUAUAUCCUGCGCCCGAGGUAUCGAAGCUUGAUCAAGCCUAUACGGGCCAAAUUCCCCUGCUACCCCAUCCUCAGGAAACCAACAGUGAAGAGCUUUUACAGGAGGACCACCGCAAAACGCAUUUAGAAUGAAGACCCCCAGGUCUCUUCUUCUUGCGGGGAAUGGAACAGCUAACUAGCCCAAAUCAUCUGCUGCUACCAAACCGUGGCUCCAUCCGAAAAGCCCAGUGACACCCCACGGCACUCACCCUCGCCAUCAGACGGAAGGGAACGCUCCCCAAAAACACACACAAAGUGCCCACUGGCCCGGCCACGGAGCUCUCCCCCCACCAGAAACCCACUGCAAGCU
Long non-coding RNA from Calidris pugnax (ruff), 418 nucleotides. RefSeq lists it as uncharacterized. NCBI's taxonomy places the organism in Eukaryota, Metazoa, Chordata, Aves, Charadriiformes, Scolopacidae. The transcript is spliced from 3 exons. The record is from RefSeq and is a predicted model, not a curated record.